AGUCGAGGGGCAGCAUUUCAGUUUGCUUGCAAACUGGAGAUGGCGACCGGCGCACGGGUGAGUAACACGUAUCCAACCUGCCGAUAACUCGGGGAUAGCCUUUCGAAAGAAAGAUUAAUACCCGAUGGUAUAAUCAGACCGCAUGGUCUUGUUAUUAAAGAAUUUCGGUUAUCGAUGGGGAUGCGUUCCAUUAGGCAGUUGGUGAGGUAACGGCUCACCAAACCUUCGAUGGAUAGGGGUUCUGAGAGGAAGGUCCCCCACAUUGGAACUGAGACACGGUCCAAACUCCUACGGGAGGCAGCAGUGAGGAAUAUUGGUCAAUGGGCGCAGGCCUGAACCAGCCAAGUAGCGUGAAGGAUGACUGCCCUAUGGGUUGUAAACUUCUUUUAUAUGGGAAUAAAGUUUUCCACGUGUGGAAUUUUGUAUGUACCAUAUGAAUAAGGAUCGGCUAACUCCGUGCCAGCAGCCGCGGUAAUACGGAGGAUCCGAGCGUUAUCCGGAUUUAUUGGGUUUAAAGGGAGCGUAGGUGGACAGUUAAGUCAGUUGUGAAAGUUUGCGGCUCAACCGUAAAAUUGCAGUUGAUACUGGCUGUCUUGAGUACAGUAGAGGUGGGCGGAAUUCGUGGUGUAGCGGUGAAAUGCUUAGAUAUCACGAAGAACUCCGAUUGCGAAGGCAGCUCACUGGACUGCAACUGACACUGAUGCUCGAAAGUGUGGGUAUCAAACAGGAUUAGAUACCCUGGUAGUCCACACAGUAAACGAUGAAUACUCGCUGUUUGCGAUAUACAGUAAGCGGCCAAGCGAAAGCAUUAAGUAUUCCACCUGGGGAGUACGCCGGCAACGGUGAAACUCAAAGGAAUUGACGGGGGCCCGCACAAGCGGAGGAACAUGUGGUUUAAUUCGAUGAUACGCGAGGAACCUUACCCGGGCUUAAAUUGCAUUUGAAUAUAUUGGAAACAGUAUAGCCGUAAGGCAAAUGUGAAGGUGCUGCAUGGUUGUCGUCAGCUCGUGCCGUGAGGUGUCGGCUUAAGUGCCAUAACGAGCGCAACCCUUAUCUUUAGUUACUAACAGGUCAUGCUGAGGACUCUAGAGAGACUGCCGUCGUAAGAUGUGAGGAAGGUGGGGAUGACGUCAAAUCAGCACGGCCCUUACGUCCGGGGCUACACACGUGUUACAAUGGGGGGUACAGAAGGCAGCUACCUGGUGACAGGAUGCUAAUCCCAAAAGCCUCUCUCAGUUCGGAUCGAAGUCUGCAACCCGACUUCGUGAAGCUGGAUUCGCUAGUAAUCGCGCAUCAGCCAUGGCGCGGUGAAUACGUUCCCGGGCCUUGUACACACCGCCCGUCAAGCCAUGAAAGCCGGGGGUACCUGAAGUACGUAACCGCAAGGAGCUCCUAGG
This 1397-nucleotide ribosomal RNA is filed under the name bacterium NLAE-zl-P697. Its description in RNAcentral is "16S ribosomal RNA". It matches the Rfam family "Bacterial small subunit ribosomal RNA". The record is from RNAcentral.